CAUAGCGACUAUCGUGGCAUAUCAAUAAGCGGAGGAAAAGAAACUAACAAGGAUUCCCCUAGUAACGGCGAGUGAAGCGGGAAGAGCUCAAAUUUGAAAUCUUAAAGGGUUUCCCUUUACGAAUUGUAGUUUAAAGAAGUGUUUUCUGUUGGAGUUUCGGUAAAAGUUCUUUGGAAUAGGACAUCAUAGAGGGUGAGAAUCCCGUAUUUGACCGUUACUUUCCAGCUGCGUGAUACACUUUCAAAGAGUCGGAUUGUUUGGGAAUGCAGUCCAAAAUGGGUGGUAAAUUUCAUCUAAAGCUAAAUAUUGGCGAGAGACCGAUAGCGAACAAGUACCGUGAGGGAAAGAUGAAAAGAACUUUGAAAAGAGAGUUAAACAGUACGUGAAAUUGUCAAAGGGGAAGCGUUUGACACCAGUGUUGUUUUCUCGAAAAUCAAUUACGAAUGUUUUAUUUUUGAGGAGUUAUGACUUCAUCGGCUUGCUCCUUUCUUUAUGAAACUUUCUUAAUGCACUUUUCGGUUAACAAGUCAACAUCAAUUUCUUUUGUUGUAAAAGGGUAUGAGGAAGGUGGCUUUCUUUUCGGAGAAAGUGUUUAUAGCCUUGUGCCUCUGCAAUCGGAGAGAUUGAGGUCUGCAGCGUAGAUCCUUCGGGGUUAGAUACAUUUGUGCUAAGCUAUAGCCUUGUAUAGACAACUUGUUGACUAUGCUCAGUCAUGUAGCUUACUCGCAUGUGCUAUUUUACCUACGCUUAGGAUGUUGACGAGACUGUCGAUCUCAUACAUGACUCUGUGCAUAUCAAUAAGCGGAGGAAAAGGAGUAUACCUACGCUUAGGAUGUUGACGAGACUGUCGAUCUC
This 855-nucleotide ribosomal RNA is filed under the name uncultured Neocallimastigales. Its description in RNAcentral is "partial large subunit ribosomal RNA". It matches the Rfam family "Eukaryotic large subunit ribosomal RNA", at positions 22 to 645 of the family's 3401-position model. The record is from RNAcentral. Lineage: Eukaryota; Fungi; Neocallimastigomycota; Neocallimastigomycetes; Neocallimastigales.